Long non-coding RNA from Mytilus trossulus (common blue mussel), 1448 nucleotides. RefSeq lists it as uncharacterized. The record is from RefSeq and is a predicted model, not a curated record. NCBI's taxonomy places the organism in Eukaryota, Metazoa, Mollusca, Bivalvia, Mytilida, Mytilidae. The transcript has 3 exons.
CUGAAAAUGUAGAUAUAUAAAACAACAUAAAAAUUCUGUAUCAUACUAUGCUACCUUUUCAGGAUGAUACAUGCAGGAAUAGGGUCUACACAUGUGAACAACUUUCUUUCUGGUUUAAAUGUCCCUUCAGUCAAUCCAUCAACAAUCAAGAAGAAAGAAAAUGAAGUUGGAAAGAAAAUACAUGAAGCUGCCAUUGAAUCAUGUAAAACAGUUCAACAGCAAGAAAAAACAUUUAAGUAAUGGAAAGGUCAUGCUAGUAUGAUUGGGUCAAUCACUGGAAAAGUCAUGGACUUCAGUCUUAGGAGCCGCAUCUGCAAAGUAUGUGAAUACCAUCAGCAAAGAAAAGAAAUUGUUCCUGCACAUGACUGUAGCAAAAAUUGGUUUGGAUCGAGCAAUGGUAUGGAACCAGACAUGGCAGUUGAAAUGACCCUCAACCUUAAAGAUUCAGGAUGCCAAAUACAAGUGUUACAUGCUGACAAUGAUUCUACAACUACUUCUAGACUGAAAGUAGAUUUUGAUGACCUAGAAAAAAAGGAUGACCAAAAUCAUGUUAAAAAAGGAUUUUCAAAGAAGUUAUAUGAACUGUCAAAGAAAUUUAAAGAGUUGAAACACUCUGAUGUCAUCCCGUAUAUAGUGAGAUGCUUUAUGUAUGUUGUCAAAGAAAACACUGGAUCUGUAGAAAACAGUCAGCUAGCGUUGAAGAGAAUGGUUUUCAACAUAUUUGGAGACCACACUUUGUGUCAAAAUGCAGAAUGAUGCACAUAUGCAAAAGAUCCAUUCAAUUUUAAGUAUAGCAGUUUGCCAAAUGGUGAAUGUUUGUCAAAUGAUGCCCUGAAACAGGAGUUAAGUGAAGUGGUUGGGAAAUAUGAAAGGAGGGCAAACACCUCGCAGAAUAUGUGAUAAUAUUUUUUUUACUUAAUGAUUAAAAACAACUCCUCUCAUUUUAUGUUUUAAACCACACAUGUUUGCUGUAACUCAGACACAACCGUACUGCCUUUCCUCUUGUACACAUAAACUUGUUCAAUUGUUGAUGCACGGUUUUCCAGAUGAAAGUUAAUUAGGAAAAUCUCUUCGAAAUUAGAAAGGGUUAUAACGUGUAAACUUCAUUCCUCGUGAUGACAAUUUAUGAUAAUAUUUAGCGGUAAAUUUUAGUCACAUUUGAGUUCAUUGUCAAGACAAGUCUGGUCUGAAAUUUUGUUAGAUGUUUUUUAUCGGUACGAGGACUUAAGCACUUUGAACUGAUUUUCAAAGAUUCUGUCUUAUGUUGUGCUGUAUUUCCACAGUUCAAAGUAAGGGGAGUUUCGAUGCAAGAUUCCUUAUGCCUGUUCCAAGUUAGAAGCCUGCAGUCGUUGCAUUUGGUUUAUGUCUGUCAUAUUUGUUAUUCGUAAAUUAGUUUGUUUUAUUAUUUAGGCCAUUAGUUACAUCAGUCGAUAUUUUUUCAUGUCGAG